This 460-nucleotide ribosomal RNA is filed under the name uncultured bacterium. RNAcentral's name for it is "partial 16S ribosomal RNA". It matches the Rfam family "Bacterial small subunit ribosomal RNA", at positions 338 to 795 of the family's 1533-position model. The record is from RNAcentral.
CCUACGGGAGGCAGCAGUGAGGAAUCUUGGUCAAUGGACGAGCGUCUGAACCAGCCAAGUAGCGUGAAGGAUGACUGCCCUCUGGGUUGUACACUUCUUUUAUAUGGGAAUCAAACAGGGUAUGCAUCCCCUCUUGUCUUUACCAUAUGAAUAAGGAUCGGCUCACUCCGUGCCAGCAGACGCGGUAAUACGGAGGAUCCGAGCGUUAUCCGGAUUUAUUGGGUUUAAAGGGAGCGUAGGUGGAUUGUUAAGUCAGUUGUGAAAGUUUGCGGCUCAACCGUAAAAUUGCAGUUGAAACUGGCAGUCUUGAGUACAGUAGAGGUGGGCGGAAUUCGUGGUGUAGCGGUGAAAUGCUUAGAUAUCACGAAGAACUCCGAUUGCGAAGGCAGCUCACUGGACUGCAACUGACACUGAUGCUCGAAAGUGUGGGUAUCAAACAGGAUUAGAUACCCCGGUAGUC